GGAAUAUUGGUCAAUGGACGCGAGUCUGAACCAGCCAAGUAGCGUGAAGGAUGACUGCCCUAUGGGUUGUAAACUUCUUUUAUAUGGGAAUAAAGUGGUCCACGUGUGGAUUUUUGUAUGUACCAUAUGAAUAAGGAUCGGCUAACUCCGUGCCAGCAGCCGCGGUAAUACGGAGGAUCCGAGCGUUAUCCGGAUUUAUUGGGUUUAAAGGGAGCGUAGGCGGAUUGUUAAGUCAGUUGUGAAAGUUUGCGGCUCAACCGUAAAAUUGCAGUUGAUACUGGCAGUCUUGAGUGCAGUAGAGGUGGGCGGAAUUCGGGGUGUAGCGGUGAAAUGCUUAGAUAUCACGAAGAACUCCGAUUGCGAAGGCAGCUCACUGGAGUGUAACUGACGCUGAUGCUCGAAAGUGUGGGUAUCAAACAGGA
This 422-nucleotide unclassified non-coding RNA is filed under the name plant metagenome. RNAcentral's name for it is "partial contains 5.8S ribosomal RNA, internal transcribed spacer 2, and large subunit ribosomal RNA". It matches the Rfam family "Bacterial small subunit ribosomal RNA", at positions 358 to 777 of the family's 1533-position model. The record is from RNAcentral.